This 115-nucleotide unclassified non-coding RNA is filed under the name plant metagenome. RNAcentral's name for it is "partial contains internal transcribed spacer 2 and large subunit ribosomal RNA". The record is from RNAcentral.
CUGUAAAAGGUGGCCAAGGUAAAUGCAGAUGAACCGCUUCUAAUAGUCCAUUGACUUGGACAAUACUUUUAUGAUCUGAUCUCAAAUCAGGUAGGACUACCCGCUGAACUUAAGC